Rhincodon typus (whale shark) is the source of this 4101-nucleotide long non-coding RNA. RefSeq lists it as uncharacterized. NCBI's taxonomy places the organism in Eukaryota, Metazoa, Chordata, Chondrichthyes, Orectolobiformes, Rhincodontidae. The record is from RefSeq and is a predicted model, not a curated record. The transcript has 2 exons.
AACUACAGGAUAGCUCAAGGAUACCAGAUCUCCAUGGGCUUAGUCCUUGUGUCCCCAUCACAUCAGGAGCUGUGGAGCAUUGUUAUGGGAGGUUUGAGGAGGGAUAAUGUUCGUUGUAUAAACCUAUCACUCAUUCAGAAGUAAGCAUGUACUGCAGUUGUAAACCAUUUGUAAAUCAAGCACUUUCUUUUUCCUUUUUAUUCUUAUGCUGAACGUUUAUUUAUUAUUCUUUAAAUUUAGUACUAAAUACUUAAGUAUCUGCACCCACGUAUCUUGUCCCUAAGAUGGUGCCAUUGGCGGCAACAUUGCAAAUUUUUCACCGCACUCAUUCGAGUGCAUGUGACAGUAAAGCUAAUUCAAUUCAAUUUGAUUUAAACUUCAGCUGGGUGAAUCAUGCCAUCUCACUGGUGCAUGUAAAGCCACUCGAACAUGCUCUCCUCUCAGCUGUGACUGAUCAACUGCGUAGUUUUUAUUUAAUUAAGGUUUUUGUUGGCAAGGAAUUGUUUAGAAGCACAUUGAUGAUUUGGUAUAUUCUGAAUCGUUUUGGUGAAAAUAGAAGCAAUACUAGAACACUGUUACUUCGCUUUAGAACUUUUUGAUGUGUUAUGGAUAUCAUUAGUUUAUUCUGCGCAUUUAGAACCCGACCCAAGUCUUUUGGAUUAGUUACACUUAAUAACAAUAGGCUGUGUGUGCAGUCUGUGCCAGGAGUGAGGUGACAGUAAUGAUGUUGCAGGACAUUCCCUCAGGGCCUAACUGUUUUAACACAACACUGAUUGACAGUAUCCAGUUUCCCUCAAUAUUGUCACAUGUAUGCAUAUUUACUACCCCACAUUUAACAAAGGUAGUCAGUAUAGAUUGUAAUAUCCCUAACAGCAUGUACAAUAUGGAAUACACUGUGUUGAGAUUGCUUCAGGGAAUUCACAGCACUAAAUAGUUGCACACAGCAAAUGAAGUUUUAAAUACAGCUAAAACAAUUAUAACACAACUUCCAUCAUUAGUUGAUGUAGAUUAAAGCAAAGGGACAUUAAACGUGGUGGGAGGCAGGAAAAAACAACAGAAGUAACAACAAUUCAGCUCUCUAGUCGUAGUUCUAUCUCAAUCAUUAGUUCAUAUUUCAGGAAGCUUGUCACACAUUGCCAGGUGCUUCCAAAUGUACAGGAGGCAACUGAAGUGAUAUCUUUUGAAGAAACAGUAUGAUAUUAGCAGUGAUGAGCACUGACUUCCUUUGCUCUUUUCAGAGAGUCGCACUACUAGCCACCCAAUCACACAGGCUCUUCCAUAAUAGAUAUGCAUGACUAUGCAAUUCCAUUUUCUUUCUGCAGAUUGGACCCCCCUCGGGUACAGACAAAGUGAAGAAAGGUGGAUCCUACAUGUGCCAUAAGGCCUAUUGCUACAGAUACCGUUGUGCAGCUCGCAGUCAGAACACACCAGACAGCACUGCCUCCAAUCUGGGUUUCCGCUGUGCUGCUGAUGUUCUGCCAGAUUACCUGAGGUGAGCUGGCUUCUGGAGAGAGCCAACAGGAAAACAAGUGUCCAAAGUAUUAGCGUCCCUGAGGAUGGAAAGAUGCUGAAUACAUGUCAUGAUGGAACUUGCCCUUACAGCAGUCAGCCACUGGAGCUUAGUGGACAUCACCAAUAAGCUGGUGAAUGUCUCAGCCAUGGAUUCCUGCAAUCUUUCCACUUAGAUGGUUUCAAUUUAAAGGGAGAGGACAGGAGGCUUGAAAUGUGUUUCUUGCAAGAGUUUCAGCUAACACUUCGGGACUUACUACAUCUGGAUUCUGUCUUUGUUAUUGCUAAAACAAAAUUAACCUUCUUGAUUAGAAAUGUUACCAAAUACUGCAAAGUGAAUGAACUCAACAAGGCUGCUUUGAAAAGUAUUUUUUCACCAAACUUCCAGUUGAUGGUUUUCCAAGACCAAUCUUUCCACAAUGAUAUCGAAAGGCCUAUAAUAGAGUUUGCUUGUUUCUCAAACUGUUUUAAAAUUUCUGUAAAUAAACAUCACAUAAGAUCAUUCUCAAAUAUUGGACUGAGGUGAAUGGCACAGAGUAUUUUUGUAUACAGUUGUAAUGUAGACAAUACAUAAAAACAAAUAACUUACAUCACUAUACCAAACGUUCUUAGCAUCUCAGAGUACAUCACUAGCAAUGAAUUUGAAGUGUAGUCAAUGUUGUAAUGUAAAGAGAAACUGUAGCCAAUUCUAGGAAAAAUAUACAGGCAUUGGAAGCAGUCCAGGGAAGGUGUACUAGGCAGACUGGUCUAUAAAAGAGUUUGAGUAGACUGGGCUUGUACUUGUUGAAAUAUAGAAGUAUGAGAGGCAAUCUUAUUGAAACACAUAAGAUUCUUAGAGGACUUAACAGGAAAGAUGUGGAAUGGUGGUUUCCCCUGAUAGGAGAGUUUAGAACCAGACAGCAAACCUCAGAGUAAGGGGUCACAUAUUUAAGACAGAGUUGAUGAGGAAUUUCUUUCAGAGGGUAGUGAAUCUACGGUAUUCUUUACCACAAAGAAUUGUUCAGGCUGUAUUAUUAAGCAUCUUCAAGGCUGAGAUAGAUUUUUAAUCAGUAAGGGAGUUAUGGGGAAAGCCAGGAAAAUAGAGUUGAAGAUUAUCAGAUCAGCCAUGAUCUCAUUGAAUGGCACAGCAGACACGAUGGGCUGAAUGGCCUACUUAUGCCCCUGUGUCUUAUGGUCUUAAUUUGCAUGUAGCAAGCUCCAUACACAGCAAGUAAAUAAAUUACCAUGUAAUCCAUCUUGGCCGUAGUGGUUCAAGGGUAUGUGGAAAUAGCUGCAGCUCUAGCCAAGCUGAUCCAUGCAUCUACUUGACAAGGCAGAAAAGUCCCCAGGAAUGUCCUGUCUACAAAUCGAAUCUGGUAAAUAACUACCCAUUAGGUCUACUCUCAAUCAUCAGCAAAGUGAUGAGAGGGGUCUUCCACAAUGUUAUCAAAAUGUAUUGAUUCACCAGUAGACCUGCUCGCUGAUGCUCGGAUUCUUCAGUUCUGCCAGAACCACACAGGCUCCUGACCCUAUCCCAGCCUUGGUCCAAGUACGGACAGAAACACUGAAUUUGUGAAAUGAGGUGCAAGUGACUGCCCUUCAGCAAUGGCUGAAGGCAGCAAUUGUCUAGCUUUGGCCCCACGGAACCCAAAACAACAUUGAAGUCAAGGGCAGGAAGGCCACACACUCUCCACUGGUUGCUAACUAACACAAGAGAAGAUGGUUGUGGUUGCAGAGAUAUUGUUGCAGGAAUUCCUCAGUAGUGUCCUAGACCCAGUCAUUAUCAGCUGCUUCAUCCUUCUGUCCAUCAAAAAUGGGGAGAUUUGCUGGAUAUUGUGCCAUGUUAAUUCAAUUUAUGGCUGUUUGCAUAAUGAAGCAUUCCACAUCCACUUGGAGAAAGAACUGAACAAGUGGUGAGUAACACUCACACCAUACAAUUGGCAAGCAAUGACCAUCUUAAAAAGAAAAAGUGCGACCACUUCCCCUUGACAGUCAUAAGAUCAUAAAGAGGAGAAAGAGUAAGUCAUUUGAUCCAUCAAUUCUGCCAUGCCAUUUAAGAUCUUGGCUGAUCUGAUUGAGACUGUAACUACCUUCCUGCUUGUCUUCCAUAAACUCCCUUGCUGAUCAAAGAUCUGUCUGACUUAACCUUGAAAAUAUCCAAAGUUGUAGUCUCUGCUGCUCUUUGUGAAGGAAAUUACAAAGACGCCCUUAUUUUUGAACCAUGUCCUGGGGGUCUAGAUUUGCAAUGAGAGUAUUUACCCUGUCAAGCUCCCACUUCUAAACUCUAACGAGUAUCAGCUUUACCUACACAACUUUUCCUCGUAAGACCUUCAGCCUAGGAUUCAACCCAGUAACCUUUCUCUGAACUGCUUCCAAUGCACAUAUAUCCCUGCUUAGAAAAGGAGACCAAAACUAUACACAGCAUUCAGGUGUGGUCCCACCAAUACCUCGCAGUGUUGUAGAAAUAUUUCCCUGGUUUCAUGUUCCAUUGCUCGUUUUCUAAUUAAUUGCUGUACCUGCCAGUCACCUUUAUGUAAUUUGUAUAGAAGGAUUUAUAUUGCAGUAUACUGCGGUUUUCCUUAUUUCAAAUAAAUUCUGACCAUUUUUUCCACA